Molecule: ribosomal RNA, 297 nt
Filed under: uncultured bacterium
Lineage: Bacteria
Description: partial 16S ribosomal RNA
Rfam family: Bacterial small subunit ribosomal RNA
Source: RNAcentral
UGGACCUACGGGAGGCAGCAGUAGGGAAUUUUCGUCAAUGGGCGCAAGCCUGAACGAGCAAUGCCGCGUGAACGAGGAAGGUCUUCGGAUCGUAAAGUUCUGUUGAAGGGGAAAAAGAGCGGAGAGAGGAAAUGGUCUCCGAUUGAUAUUACCCUUCGAGGAAGUCACGGCUAACUACGUGCCAGCAGCCGCGGUAAUACGUAGGUGGCGAGCGUUAUCCGGAAUGAUCGGGCGUAAAGGGUGCGUAGGCGGCCUGCUACGUUUGGAGCGAAAGGUACCGGCUCAACCGGUACAGGC